AUGGAGCCGACCUUGAAAUACCACCCUUUAAUGUUUGAUGUUCUAACGUGGACCCGUGAUCCGGGUUGCGGACAGUGUCUGGUGGGUAGUUUGACUGGGGCGGUCUCCUCCUAAAGAGUAACGGAGGAGCACGAAGGUUGGCUAAUCCUGGUCGGACAUCAGGAGGUUAGUGCAAUGGCAUAAGCCAGCUUGACUGCGAGCGUGACGGCGCGAGCAGGUGCGAAAGCAGGUCAUAGUGAUCCGGUGGUUCUGAAUGGAAGGGCCAUCGCUCAACGGAUAAAAGGUACUCCGGGGAUAACAGGCUGAUACCGCCCAAGAGUUCAUAUCGACGGCGGUGUUUGGCACCUCGAUGUCGGCUCAUCACAUCCUGGGGCUGAAGUAGGUCCCAAGGGUAUGGCUGUUCGCCAUUUAAAGUGGUACGCGAGCUGGGUUUAGAACGUCGUGAGACAGUUCGGUCCCUAUCUGCCGUGGGCGCUGGAGAACUGAGGGGGGCUGCUCCUAGUACGAGAGGACCGGAGUGGACGCAUCACUGGUGUUCGGGUUGUCAUGCCAAUGGCACUGCCCGGUAGCUAAAUGCGGAAGAGAUAAGUGCUGAAAGCAUCUAAGCACGAAACUUGCCCCGAGAUGAGUUCUCCCUGACCCUUUAAGGGUCCUGAAGGAACGUUGAAGACGACGACGUUGAUAGGCCGGGUGUGUAAGCGCAGCGAUGCGUUGAGCUAACCGGUACUAAUGAACCGUGAGG
RNAcentral lists this ribosomal RNA (742 nucleotides) under Escherichia coli. Its description in RNAcentral is "partial 23S ribosomal RNA". It matches the Rfam family "Bacterial large subunit ribosomal RNA", at positions 2180 to 2916 of the family's 2925-position model. Lineage: Bacteria; Pseudomonadati; Pseudomonadota; Gammaproteobacteria; Enterobacterales; Enterobacteriaceae. The record is from RNAcentral.